ACUGGGUUGGCCGAGUGGUUAAGGCGUUGGACUUAAGUUCCAAUGGUCAAGUGUCCGCGUGGGUUAGAACCCCACACCCAGUA
This is a non-coding RNA of Ciona savignyi (Pacific transparent sea squirt), 83 nucleotides long. Lineage: Eukaryota; Metazoa; Chordata; Ascidiacea; Phlebobranchia; Cionidae. The record is from Rfam.